Molecule: ribosomal RNA, 468 nt
Filed under: uncultured bacterium
Lineage: Bacteria
Description: partial 16S ribosomal RNA
Rfam family: Bacterial small subunit ribosomal RNA
Source: RNAcentral
GACGAACGCUGGCGGCGUGCUUAACACAUGCAAGUCGAACGGAAAGGCCCUGCUUUUGUGGGGUGCUCGAGUGGCGAACGGGUGGGUAACACGUGAGUAACCUGCCCUUGACUUUGAGAUAACUUCAGGAAACUGGGGCUAAUACCGGAUAGGAGCUCCUGCUGCAUGGUGGGGGUUGGAAAGUUUCGGCGGUUGGGGAUGGACUCGCGGCUUAUCAGCUUGUUGGUGGGGUAGUGGCUUACCAAGGCUUUGACGGGUAGCCGGCCUGAGGGGGUGACCGGCCACAUUGGGACUGAGAUACGGCCCAGACUCCUACGGGAGGCAGCAGUGGGGAAUAUUGCACAAUGGGCGGAAGCCUGAUGCAGCAACGCCGCGUGCGGGAUGACGGCCUUCGGGUUGUAAACCGCUUUCGCCUGUGACGAAGCGUGAGUGACGGUAAUGGGUAAAGAAGCACCGGCUAACUACGUG